This 119-nucleotide ribosomal RNA is filed under the name Pteropus alecto (black flying fox). The record is from RNAcentral. Lineage: Eukaryota; Metazoa; Chordata; Mammalia; Chiroptera; Pteropodidae.
GUCUACAGCCAUGCCACCCUGAACAUGCCCAAUCUCUUCUGAUCUCGGAAGCUAAGCAGGGUCAGGCCUGGUUUGUACUUGGAUGGGAGACCACCUAGGAAGACCAGGUGCUAUAGGCA